GUCGUACGAAAGUUUUGAACUUAAGUGGCGGACGGGUGAGUAACACGUAAGAAUUUGCCUUUAGGAGGGGGAUAACAACUGGAAACGGUUGCUAAUACCCCAUAUGCUUUCGAGUGAAAUGGAUUUCCGCCUAAAGAGGAGCUUGCGGCUGAUUAGCUUGUUGGUGAGGUAAUGGCUCACCAAGGCGACGAUCAGUAUCUGGUUUGAGAGGACGACCAGACACACUGGAACUGAGACACGGUCCAGACUCCUACGGGAGGCAGCAGUAGGGAAUUUUCCGCAAUGGGCGAAAGCCUGACGGAGCAAUACCGCGUGAGGGAUGAAUGCCUAUGGGUUGUAAACCUCUUUUUUCAGGGAGGAAUCAAUGACGUGUACCUGAAGAAUAAGCAUCGGCUAACUCCGUGCCAGCAGCCGCGGUAAGACGGAGGAUGCAAGUGUUAUCCGGAAUCACUGGGCGUAAAGCGUCUGUAGGUGGUUAAAUAAGUCAACUGUUAAAUCUUGAGGCUUAACCUCAAAAUCGCAGUCGAAACUAUUAGACUAGAGUAUAGUAGGGGUAAAGGGAAUUUCCAGUGGAGCGGUGAAAUGCGUAGAGAUUGGAAAGAACACCGAUGGCGAAGGCACUUUACUGGGCUAUUACUAACACUCAGAGACGAAAGCUAGGGUAGCAAAUGGGAUUAGAUACCCCAGUAGUCC
RNAcentral lists this ribosomal RNA (693 nucleotides) under uncultured bacterium. RNAcentral's name for it is "bacterial SSU rRNA". It matches the Rfam family "Bacterial small subunit ribosomal RNA", at positions 61 to 796 of the family's 1533-position model. The record is from RNAcentral.